RNAcentral lists this ribosomal RNA (631 nucleotides) under Phacellophora sp. B2. RNAcentral's name for it is "partial 16S ribosomal RNA". It matches the Rfam family "Bacterial large subunit ribosomal RNA", at positions 1806 to 2608 of the family's 2925-position model. The record is from RNAcentral. Lineage: Eukaryota; Metazoa; Cnidaria; Scyphozoa; Semaeostomeae; Ulmaridae.
UCCAAAAACAUAGCCCCACGAGACCCGUGUGGGGUGAAACCUGCUCAAUGGCUGUGAAUAAACUAAUUUAAUAGCAGUUAAAUAGCCGCGGUAACUCUGACCGUGAUAAAGUAGCAUAAUCACUCGUCACUUAAUUGGUGACUGGAAUGAAUGGUCAAACGAAUCUUCGUCUGUCUCUGAAAGAAUUUAGAUGAAUUUGAAAUGGUAGUGAAGAUACUAUCAAAAAACUGUAAGACGAAAAGACCCUAUCGAGCUUUACUGGCAGCUUAUAUUACUCACAUACUAUAAAUAAUUAUAGUUAUUUACUAUAUGUAAGCUUAACAGUUUGGUUGGGGCGACCACCUCUAAAAACGUAUCAGAGGAAUUCUUAAGGUUAAUAAUAAUGUAACAAGCUUUACUGGAAAUCUACCAAUUAAUCAGUUACUAACAAGUAGGACAUAAUGACCCGUUUGUUAACUUACUUUAGCAAACGACAAUGAAAAAAGUUACCGUAGGGAUAACAGGGUAAUAUUUUCAAAGAGUUCAUAUCGAUGAAAAUGUUUGCCACCUCGAUGUUGAAUUGUGGUAUCCUAGAGGUGCAGCAGCUUCUAAGGGUUGGUCUGUUCGACCAUUAAAACCUUACAUGAUUUGA